UCGAGAAUCUUCCGCAAUGGACGAAAGUCUGACGGAGCGACGCCGCGUGAAGGAUGAAGUGCUUCGGCAUGUAAACUUCUUUUGUGAGGGAGAAAGUUUAUUGAUAGUACCUCAAGAAUAAGGGGCUCCAAACUCUGUGCCAGCAGGAGCGGUAAUACAGAGGCCCCGAGCGUUAUCCGGAAUUAUUGGGCGUAAAGGGUGUGUAGGUGGUUGUGUUAGUCUCUCGUUAAAUUCUUCGGCUUAACCGGGGGCAUGCGAGGGAAACGGCACGACUUGAGUGUGUGAGAGGUUUGCGGAACUCAUGGAGUAGGGGUGAAAUCCGUUGAUAUCAUGGGGAACACCAAAGGCGAAGGCAGCAAACUGGCGCAUUACUGACACUGAAACACGAAAGCGUGGGUAG
Molecule: ribosomal RNA, 400 nt
Filed under: uncultured bacterium
Lineage: Bacteria
Description: bacterial SSU rRNA
Rfam family: Bacterial small subunit ribosomal RNA
Source: RNAcentral